RNAcentral lists this ribosomal RNA (755 nucleotides) under uncultured Pseudomonadota bacterium. Its description in RNAcentral is "bacterial SSU rRNA". It matches the Rfam family "Bacterial small subunit ribosomal RNA", at positions 31 to 831 of the family's 1533-position model. The record is from RNAcentral. Lineage: Bacteria; Pseudomonadati; Pseudomonadota.
GUACGCUGGCGGCACGCCUAACACAUGCAAGUCGAACGAAGUAGCAAUACUUAGUGGCAGACGGGUGAGUAACAUGUGGGUAUCUGCCCUUUGGCCUGGAAUAACACGAGGAAACUUGUGCUAAUACCGGAUAAGUCUUUACGGAGAAAGCUUUAUGCACCAUUGGAUGAGCCCGCACUUGAUUAGUUUGUUGGUGGGGUAAUGGCCUACCAAGACUGUGAUCAAUAGCUGAUUUGAGAGGAUGAUCAGCCACAUUGGGACUGAGACACGGCCCAAACUCCUACGGGAGGCAGCAGUGGGGAAUCUUGCACAAUGGAGGAAACUCUGAUGCAGCGAUGCCGCGUGAGUGAAGAAGGCCCUUGGGUUGUAAAGCUCUUUCGUCGGGGAAGAAAAUGACUGUACCCGAAUAAGAAGGUCCGGCUAACUUCGUGCCAGCAGCCGCGGUAAUACGAAGGGACCUAGCGUAGUUCGGAAUUACUGGGCUUAGAGAGUUCGUAGGUGGUUGAAAAAGUUAGUGGUGAAAUCCCAGAGCUUAACUCUGGAACUGCCAUUAAAACUUUUCAGCUAGAGUAUGAUAGAGGAAAGCAGAAUUUCUAGUGUAGAGGUGAAAUUCGUAGAUAUUAGAAAGAAUACCAAUUGCGAAGGCAGCUUUCUGGAUCAUUACUGACACUGAGGAACGAAAGCAUGGGUAGCGAAGAGGAUUAGAUACCCUCGUAGUCCAUGCCGUAAACGAUGUGUGUUAGACGUUGGAAAUU